This 1637-nucleotide long non-coding RNA is filed under the name Musa acuminata (dwarf banana). Its description in RNAcentral is "long non-coding RNA (MACU_LNC006821)". Lineage: Eukaryota; Viridiplantae; Streptophyta; Magnoliopsida; Zingiberales; Musaceae. The record is from RNAcentral.
GCUCAGGACUCUUCCAAAAGGAAGUGGGAAGUCAAUGCCUCCCCACCUACACAACGUGUUAAAUUUCAUCAAGAAGUUAGUCAAAGAAUGUCUUCCAUAAGUCAAUCUUCAAGUCAAAGAAUUAUAGCCUACUUUUUGAAGUUCUUGAAAGCAGCUGUAUCAUCCAAUUCUCCUCGCAUAUCCAGUGGGUAUGGUUCACCAUUUACCAAAGUAAAUGGGUUCAUCUCUAUAAAACUGAAAUCCAAAUCUGUAAAAGAUGCAAGGGACCAAAUCAAUGCUAACUAUGAAUCAUGAGCACAAAAAUGACACAAGGGGUUAACCAAAAAACAUAUCAACAGAUUAAGGACACUAAGUAGCAAAUAGAAAGAUCUAUUCAAAUAUCUCAUCAACAAGAAGACUUCUGUAAUAACCUAUGAACAACAGUCUACUUCUUAACAUAUGUGCAUUACCACCUUCUAUAUCUAUAUAUUGCAUAUAACAUAUUUGGAGACAAGAACAUAUAAAACAGUCUUGUGUGGGAAUCUGUUAUUAGGUGAACAUAUACAGUCAGAGAUGUUUAAUUUCCUGGCUUACCUUGGAACACAGUAAAAACUCCCUUAAUAAAGUCCCCUAUCUUCCCUCGUACCUGAGCCAAUUAAUGCAACAGGGCACCCAAGUUAUAGCAACAAUGAAGUAUCUCACCAUAAUAUAUAAUUUCUGAUGGUUACUAGUAUAAUAAGAAAAGCAAGUAAGCGAUAAUUUGAUGUAUAGCUACGAACGAGUGCACCUCACCUCCAAUGGAAGCGUUGCGAUCAAAGGAGCACAUGCCUCGCCUGUCAUAGGCUUCUCUGUAGGAAGAUAUACCGUCUUGACCUUGUCCCAGUUCUCCUCUAUUUCAAUGCCUCCACACUCUGAGAAGCUGACGGUGCAACCCAGCCUCUCUGACACAAUAGAGAGGUAGUAUUCUUGAUCGUGGGGAACAAAUGGCUCGAUUAUGAACGUGGUGAUCGGAGCCUUGCACCCUCCCAUCUCAACCUUUGAGCAAAAAGAAAGUAUAUUAGAUUCCAUCACACGGUUAUCUCAUUGCAUAAGAAGAUCAUAAAACAUCAUAGAUCACCUCCACUCCCAGACGUUCCUUGACAAACUGAGCCGCCUGAGCCAGAUCUAGGUUGAGAGCCACCAAACCGCUCUUUCCACGCUUGCCGAACAGCAUGUCGGGCUUCACGACCAACUUCAUGGACGAAAGCCAUGGUUCCUUGUUCACCAACUCAUUGAAGUCCGUCGAUUCCGUCACCUACAUCAACUCAACCAUCACGAAAAAUAGUCUGAAACCCCUCAUUUUGAGGACCAAUUUCGACCGACGCGCGACAACUAGAACGCAUUCAUCAUCCCGUCCAAAGAAAUCAGAUUCAAACUUCACAGGAAACCAUACGAAUCGAUCAUCGAGAACAUAAAACGACCAAACAACCCCGGAAACGGACGAUCGUAAGAGAUCGAUAGACCGAGGCUCUGUUAUCGAUUGGGGACGGAUGAGAGCACCUGGACGGAUCGGAUCUGGAGAUCGAUGCCGGCGAGACGCUUGAGGUGCUCCUUGAGGAGACGCUUGGAAUCGUACUCCCGGAUCUUCUUCCUGGCCAUCGCCUCCCUUCUUCGGUUCU